CUCAAAGUGGGGUUUUUGACUUUUUGCCCCAGAAUGACUUUUGUAGCUUGUUACAAAGUAGGUUCCUGGGCCAUCCCACAUUGACUGAGUUAAUAUCCUCUCAGAUGAGUUUUAUUUAAGCACAAUAAAGUUUGAACAUCACUAAUUUAAGGUUUGAUACAUAUUUUGCAUAGUCUUGCUCUGAGGUUGAGAUUAAUUUAAAUGAAAGCUAAGAUAAAAAUAAACCUAUUUUUCAUGUUCUUGGAUAAUAGAAUAGAGUCUCUGAUUUCUGAAAGUUGUACAUAAAUUUCUAUAUAUUAGAAUUAAGUGGGAUCUAAGUUUGAUUUCCUGAAAGAUUAGAUAGAAUAAAGGCCAAAAGCUUUGAAAUUAUAUUUUUAAGACAGAAAAAAAUCAAGCAUUUGCCACAUAAUGCAGUUAAUUUGUAGUCAUGCUCACUGAGGCCCACUUUCUGGAACAUAUGUAUUAUCUAUAAGCUUCCAUAAUCUCUCCUAGAAAUGUGUUACUCAACUGGUAAAUACCAGUUCUCUAAAAACUACCGUAAGAUCUAGUCAUGAGAUGUUAAAAGCAUUUGAACAUGUUAUGCUGGUAGAGUUCUUUUUCAAAGUCAGUCAGUGAUUAUUUGAAUUUAUUUGUCAGCACUAAUAUUCCUGUGAAAAAUGUCCUUGAAAAUUAUUACAAUAAGUUUUCCACAAAGGAUAGAAUGUUCAGAACAUUUCAGGUUAGCAAAUUAUUCGACUAUGUAUAAGUACAAUAUCACAUAUAAACAAUUGUAACUAUAUUUUUUAUGAAUUGAAGUUAAAGUUGUUGUGAGAUAUUAUAUAAUGUAUUGGCAAAUCUCCAAAGACCAGAGUUCAAGUACUGAUACAAUGAAUAAUAGUUGCAUGACCUUUGUUAACUGGAUGAACCUUUCUGAAUGUCCAUUUCCUCAGCUGUAAAAUUGGAAUAAUGUGAUUAAUGUAGAGAAGAAUUGUUAUAAAGAAUAAAGGGGAUAUUUGAUGAAAACAAAACAUGCUUUGCAAAUAUUAGCUAUUAUUUAUAUUUCACAUUGCACUAUUGAACUUUCCACUUAUAAUACCCUAGCAUAAAUUCUGAUAUUUAUGUAUUCAUUUACUUAUUAAUAAAUAAGAAUUUUU
RNAcentral lists this long non-coding RNA (1133 nucleotides) under Marmota monax (woodchuck). The record is from RNAcentral. Lineage: Eukaryota; Metazoa; Chordata; Mammalia; Rodentia; Sciuridae.